RNAcentral lists this ribosomal RNA (406 nucleotides) under uncultured bacterium. RNAcentral's name for it is "partial 16S ribosomal RNA". It matches the Rfam family "Bacterial small subunit ribosomal RNA", at positions 30 to 526 of the family's 1533-position model. The record is from RNAcentral.
AUUGAACGCUGGCGGCAGGCCUAACACAUGCAAGUCGAACGAGUGGCGGACGGGUGAGAAAUGUCUGGGAAUCUGCCUGAUGGAGGGGGAUAAAUAGUGGACACGGUCGAUAAUACCGCAUUACAUCAGAAGUGCCCAGAUGGGAUUAGCUUGUUGGUGGGGUAACGGCUCACCAAGGCGACGCUCCCUAGCUGGUCUGAGAGGAUGACCAGCCACACUGGAACUGAGACACGGUCCAGACUCCUACGGGAGGCAGCAGUGGGGAAUAUUGCACAAUGGGCGCAAGCCUGAUGCAGCCAUGCCGCGUGUAUGAAGAAGGCCUUCGGGUUGUAAAGUACUUUCAGCCGGGAGGCGUUACCCGCAGAAGAAGCACCGGCUAACUCCGUGCCAGCCGCCGCGGUAAUAC